CACGUAGGGGGCGAGCGUUGUCCGGAAUUACUGGGCGUAAAGGGUGCGUAGGCGGUCUGUUAAGUCAGAUGUGAAAGACCUGGGCUCAACCCGGGAUGUGCAUCUGAGACUGGCGGACUUGAGUGCAGGAGAGGGAAGUGGAAUUUCUAGUGUAGCGGUGGAAUGCGUAGAUAUUAGGAAGAACACCAGUGGCGAAGGCGGCUUCCUGGACUGUAACUGACGCUGAGGCACGAAAGCGUGGGGAGCGAAC
Molecule: ribosomal RNA, 250 nt
Filed under: uncultured Clostridia bacterium
Lineage: Bacteria; Bacillati; Bacillota; Clostridia
Description: partial 16S ribosomal RNA
Rfam family: Bacterial small subunit ribosomal RNA
Source: RNAcentral